GACAUCGUGGCCGAGUGGUCUAAGGCGUUGGAUUUAGGCUCCAAUCUUCGGGCGCAGGUUCGAAUCCUGCCGAUGUUA
Cylindrotheca closterium is the source of this 78-nucleotide non-coding RNA. Lineage: Eukaryota; Bacillariophyta; Bacillariophyceae; Bacillariales; Bacillariaceae. The record is from the annotation of a GenBank genome assembly.